Molecule: ribosomal RNA, 475 nt
Filed under: uncultured organism
Description: partial 16S ribosomal RNA
Rfam family: Bacterial small subunit ribosomal RNA
Source: RNAcentral
CGUACACUCCUACGCGAGGCAGCAGUAGGGAAUCUUCGGCAAUGGGGGCAACCCUGACCGAGCAACGCCGCGUGAGUGAAGAAGGUUUUCGGAUCGUAAAGCUCUGUUGUAAGUCAAGAACGAGUGUGAGAGUGGAAAGUUCACACUGUGACGGUAGCUUACCAGAAAGGGACGGCUAACUACGUGCCAGCAGCCGCGGUAAUACGUAGGUCCCGAGCGUUGUCCGGAUUUAUUGGGCGUAAAGCGAGCGCAGGCGGUUUGAUAAGUCUGAAGUUAAAGGCUGUGGCUCAACCAUAGUUCGCUUUGGAAACUGUCAAACUUGAGUGCAGAAGGGGAGAGUGGAAUUCCAUGUGUAGCGGUGAAAUGCGUAGAUAUAUGGAGGAACACCGGUGGCGAAAGCGGCUCUCUGGUCUGUAACUGACGCUGAGGCUCGAAAGCGUGGGGAGCGAACAGGAUUAGAAACCCGAGUAGUCCC